AAGAAAAAUGCAUAUAUGAGCAUAGAGAUAAUGAUAGUAAUAAUGACAACAUAUAAAAAUAAUAAUUAAAUAAAAAAAAUAGUUCAAAAAGAAAAAGUGGAUUAAAUUGAACAAAAGACGAAAUAUCGGGGAUAAAUUCGAAAUAAAUAAAAGGACCCAAUUGAAUGCGCAGGAAACAAUGGAAGACCAAAAGGGGAAUUAAUCCCUCCCUCCUACAUGUUGCGCAGCACUGGAUUAAAUCGUCACGCGGGUAAAAUAUUUGGGCCAAAUUUUAAAGAGGAAAAAGAACUUGAUUCAAACGCGUCACAAAAGGGGGAGGGCUAAUUGCACAAUUUCCCCAUUUAGGUGGAGACGCGUAGACCCCCCCCAAAAACUAAACGGCGCCGUUUCACCUGCAUUUAAAAUUAACAAAAAAAAAACAAUUCCAAUCAUUUUGUUUCAUUUUUUUCACAUAUGCUCUGCUAAGGUUUCUCUUCUCCCCCUUUUGACGCCGCCAUUCAUUCGUCUUCGUGCCAGAGCUCCGAUCGCGGCGGAGACGGUGACGAUUCGGCAACUCCGACGGAAGGUAAGUUUUUCUUUUUCUUUUUCCUUCGUUAUUUUAUACGAAAUAAAACGAAAAUAAAAGAAAAUAAAACACAUAUAAAUAAUAAAAAAUACUAUAAAAAACGAAAAGAAAAAAAACCUUUGUAAAACAACUUUGAUAUCUGUAUUUUCUCUCUAUUUCUGUCUCUGUUACCCCGAAAUUUCCCCCCCACCUUUUUACAGAUUUUAAUCGGCUCUUUUAUAGCCGAAAAUGGGAAAGAAAAUAAAUCCAAACAAAUCUAUUCGGUUGUUUGUUGGCCUGAUUUUUUUGCUCU
This 857-nucleotide long non-coding RNA is filed under the name Gossypium raimondii (Peruvian cotton). RNAcentral's name for it is "long non-coding RNA (GRAI_LNC010954)". The record is from RNAcentral. Lineage: Eukaryota; Viridiplantae; Streptophyta; Magnoliopsida; Malvales; Malvaceae.